AACGCACCUUGCGCCCCUUGGUAUUCCGAGGGGCAUGCCUGUUUGAGUGUCUUGAAAUCAUCAAACCUAACCGGUCUUUGUUGGCCGGCGCGGUUUGGACUUGGGGGGUUUCCUUGCUGCCGCUCGCGGUGGCUCCCCUUAAAUUCAUCGGUCGGGCUUUCGUGCGGCUCUGUCCCUUGGCGUUGUAUUACCCUCGUCGCUGGAUGGCUCGCGAUACUGCGCCCUUCUUUGACCUGCCUCUGGAGCGGCGGUCUUCAACUUUUGUGAUCUGACCUCAAAUCAGGUAGGACUACCCGCUGAACUUAA
RNAcentral lists this unclassified non-coding RNA (306 nucleotides) under uncultured fungus. RNAcentral's name for it is "sequence contains ITS2". The stretch from base 1 to 52 matches the Rfam family "5.8S ribosomal RNA", at positions 103 to 154 of the family's 154-position model. Lineage: Eukaryota; Fungi. The record is from RNAcentral.